Molecule: ribosomal RNA, 159 nt
Filed under: Ascomycota sp. MA5340
Lineage: Eukaryota; Fungi; Ascomycota
Description: 5.8S ribosomal RNA
Rfam family: 5.8S ribosomal RNA
About the family: 5.8S ribosomal RNA (5.8S rRNA) is a component of the large subunit of the eukaryotic ribosome.
Source: RNAcentral
UUAAAACUUUCAACAACGGAUCUCUUGGUUCCGGCAUCGAUGAAGAACGCAGCGAAAUGCGAUAACUAAUGUGAAUUGCAGAAUUCAGUGAAUCAUCGAGUCUUUGAACGCACAUUGCGCCCCCUGGUAUUCCGGGGGGCAUGCCUGUCCGAGCGUCAU